AUACCAGCAUUCUUCAAAAUAUCUUAUUUUGUGUUCAGCAGAAGAAAUAAAAACGGGAAGAACUUGAAGGUGAGUAAUGAUGACAGAAUUUUCAGUUUGGGGUAAGCUAUGGCUGUAAUGCAAAUCCAAAACAACAACAAUAAUAAAUAAUAAUAAUUGAUGAGACAGGUAACGAUUCAAAUUCCAGUUUGAAUUAUAAUACCCAUUUCUGUGUCCAUUGAAUGCCACGAUAAAGCUAGUUACUUCCUACUAUGGAGCAGAUUUUAAAAUUCUUUAUAAUUGCCAGUUAAAGCUGACAUGAAAAAGUAUCAUAUGUGGGAACUCUAUGGGUUAACUGAGGCUCGGGGAAACCUGUUGCCAAUUAAGUGUGUGGAAUGCCACAUAUAGACAUUUCCUCAGAACUUCCACCACAGGUUUCAGAGCACACGUUCCCUUUCAGACAGACAAUAUAACCGCUUUAACCGUUUAAAAUGUUUGUUUUAUUCACAUUUUUGCUUUCACAGUUUGGAAACAAUUGUCAGAACUGACCAUGUGGACAAUGUGUUUGGCUCCGCUCUGAUUCAUUCUAUGGAUUACAAGAGACCCAAGUUUAUGUGUCUUUAGCAUUUUUUCUAUUACACUGUGCACAAGCUGCGAUGGAAACGCAGAGGUUUUUAUUUCUCAUCUGUCUGAUGAUGUGUGGAGGAGACACUGAAAGUGCACCUGAAAUGUGCAAAGGAGCGCACUGCCAAAGGUCUCCGUCCAGAUCACCUGAUCACCAGAGCAGAUUUUCAAUUUAUGCUCCAAGACGCCCAUCGGUUCCCUACACGGUAAUACAUCCACAGCACAGUAGGGCUGCCAGUCCGAAAGUAAACCCAAGGACCAUCACGGCUGAGGUGUUCAACCCACAGGGAUGCACGGGAGGAGGUUGUCAUAGCUUGCCAAGACCAACAAAUAAUGAUACAAAUGAUUGCAAGGGAAUCGGAUGUAAACUACCUGUAAGGAUGCGACAAGAUCCCAAACAGCAUUCCACAGGGACAGAUGUUGGAAGAAGCAGACUUUCUUUUGUCCAUAUGCAGGACAGAGCCGAGCAAGUAUUGGGGGAAUUUCCAGAGCUGGGAACUCGAGGGGGGCCAUCAACUGGAAUUCAGUUAACAUGCGACAUCAAACCAGGCACAAAUGAAGUCCACUCUGAAGAUGCAUUAGUGUUGCAUUUGCACUUGGCGAAAGGUCAGGAUAAACUGGUGGCACAGUUGCAGGGGCAGCAAGCUGAAGUUAAGCAACUUCAGAACACGCUGAGAGAACAGCAAAACGCUCUACUAGCCCACCAAAGAGAAAUACUGGACCAACAACGGAUUAUGUUUGAAAAGAUGGAGGAAGUCAAGACCCAAUACAACAUUCUUCUUGACAGCGUCAAACAGAUAUCUGUACGAGGUCCACAGGGCAACAUAGAGAGCCAUUUAGAUGGUCUCCAAUCCCAGGUUAGAACCUUUUCCCAGGAGGCCUUUGCAAUGCAUAAGAUGAACAUGGAUGCUAGUGUUGCAGAUGCUGAGAGACCUCUACUUGGCUGUGGAUCCUGCCGAGCAGAUGAAUACUGCGACUUCAGCGCAGACCGGCCACAUUGUGAGAAAUGUACUGUUUGCCCUCCGGGAUUCUUUCUAGUGGCUCAGUGUUCAAUUCAUGCUGACAGGAUUUGCCAGGUACGUCUUCUACUCUAUUGCUGUACCACUGUAAUUGUUGUGAAUUUAAAAAGGAUCAUUUUGAUCAUAGUGCAGCCAAAUAGAACUGAUUU
Long non-coding RNA from Cyprinus carpio (common carp), 1771 nucleotides. NCBI's taxonomy places the organism in Eukaryota, Metazoa, Chordata, Actinopteri, Cypriniformes, Cyprinidae. The record is from Ensembl.